GUGUGGUGUGUGAGAUUAACCUGGACGAGUGUGAGAGCGAACCCUGUCAGAACGGCGGCCCUGGGGCGGUCAUGACUGCGACGUCCCGCUGACCGGCUAUGUGCCUGACCCCUGCCAAAACAACGCCACCUGUGUGCCUUCACUGCUCAGAGACCUGCAUCAGCACACCUGCACAUGCCCUUCAGGCUUCCACAGUGACACCUGCCAAACAUCAGACACCUUCUCUGUGAAGAGCCAAAAACUCUACUCAAGUAAAAGUUAUCUGGUCAUCAAGGUCCCAACAUCCCAAGGGCUGAGCAUCCAGCUGAGGUUCAGGAUGAGCUUGCCGGAUCUAAUUCUCUUCCUCCGGGUGUAAUGUUAUUAAUGGGACGGAAGCCAAGAGCUCUUCUUCAUGCUGGAGCUAAUUGGUGGAGACCUGCACUCCGGAGCCGAAUCGGGAGACUUAAAGCUGACACAAAGUCCCAGUUAGUGUGGACGAGAGACUGAUUCUGACCUCGCUAUCAGACGACCUGACCAGAGCUGAGGAUGGAGGACACAACCAGCUUCUGUCCUUCCAGCCGCACGGUUUGGAGAGAGUCAACCUCGGCGGGGUGCCGCAGGAAUACCUCAACCAAACCGCAUCCAGGAUGGGAGUCCUGGGCUGUUUUCAGACUACAGGUGCGACUGCAGCAGACCGUUUCAUGAACACAGCUGUUCAGAAGAGUUCACUUCAUGGAUGUUCAGUCCUGAGCGCAUCAGGAGCGUUUCCCAUCAUGCAGCAGCACGCCGGUGACGUGAGUGUGUCAGUGUGGCUGAAAUCACGUCAGUUGAAUGGCCUGGUCCUUCAGCUCCAGCGGAGGAAAUCUCAGGGAGGCAAAAGAACAACAGAGCUAAUUAGCCGCGCGGAGCUGACAGAGCGAAGCCAAAUGGCUGCCAUCCAACCCAGCAGAGGAAGGAGACCCAAUGUUCAGCAGGAUCGAUGGAGGAGACCACUUCAUUAAAGAGAGAGAGGCUCUGUUUAAUUAAGUCUGCGCUUCAGGGUCUAACAGCAGCCGUACAGUCACUGCUGUCACUGAUUUGGCCCUUCUCUAGUGUGGCUCUCUUCUCCACACCAGGGGCCUCCUGGAAGUGUAAACGUGUGUGGGAAUUACACUCAUUCUGGUGACCUGAAGCUAUACAUCAGUCUAUAGCGUUGCACCAUGGUAGAUAUGUGCCAGCCUAUGCCUUGUGUCCAUCAGGUUCCAAAAAAAUAAUUACAUCAAAUGAGAUUAAGUAGGCUACUUUCCAUUUAUAAAGUACUGAAGACAACAUGGUCUUAAGUGCAAAUGGAGACACUGUGAACUUGUGUCCUAAUCCAGCGCAAAGCAACAGGUGGAUGUUCAUUUAUGCUUCAAAUAAAUGCUGUUCUCUUCUAUUCA
Long non-coding RNA from Cyprinus carpio (common carp), 1397 nucleotides. The record is from Ensembl. NCBI's taxonomy places the organism in Eukaryota, Metazoa, Chordata, Actinopteri, Cypriniformes, Cyprinidae.